RNAcentral lists this transfer RNA (91 nucleotides) under Clostridiales bacterium. Its description in RNAcentral is "tRNA-Ser". It matches the Rfam family "tRNA". From Rfam's summary of the family: Transfer RNA (tRNA) molecules are approximately 80 nucleotides in length. Their secondary structure includes four short double-helical elements and three loops (D, anti-codon, and T loops). Further hydrogen bonds mediate the characteristic L-shaped molecular structure. tRNAs have two regions of fundamental functional importance: the anti-codon, which is responsible for specific mRNA codon recognition, and the 3' end, to which the tRNAs corresponding amino acid is attached (by aminoacyl-tRNA synthetases). tRNAs cope with the degeneracy of the genetic code in two manners: having more than one tRNA (with a specific anti-codon) for a particular amino acid; and 'wobble' base-pairing, i.e. permitting non-standard base-pairing at the 3rd anti-codon position. RNAcentral also lists the same sequence under 1 other name. Lineage: Bacteria; Bacillati; Bacillota; Clostridia; Eubacteriales. The record is from RNAcentral.
GGAGAAUUACCCAAGUGGCUGAAGGGGACAGUUUGCUAAACUGUUAGGGUUCGCAAGGGCCGCGAGGGUUCAAAUCCCUCAUUCUCCGCCA